RNAcentral lists this ribosomal RNA (427 nucleotides) under uncultured bacterium. Its description in RNAcentral is "bacterial SSU rRNA". It matches the Rfam family "Bacterial small subunit ribosomal RNA", at positions 355 to 774 of the family's 1533-position model. The record is from RNAcentral.
UGGGGAAUUUUGGACAAUGGACGCAAGUCUGAUCCAGCCAUGCCGCGUGCGGGAAGAAGGCCUUCGGGUUGUAAACCGCUUUUGUCAGGGAAGAAACGAGUUUCUCUAAUACAGAGACUCAAUGACGGUACCUGAAGAAUAAGCACCGGCUAACUACGUGCCAGCAGCCGCGGUAAUACGUAGGGUGCGAGCGUUAAUCGGAAUUACUGGGCGUAAAGCGUGCGCAGGCGGUUAUGUAAGACAGAUGUGAAAUCCCCGGGCUCAACCUGGGACCUGCAUUUGUGACUGUAUAGCUAGAGUACGGUAGAGGGGGAUGGAAUUCCGCGUGUAGCAGUGAAAUGCGUAGAUAUGCGGAGGAACACCGAUGGCGAAGGCGAUCCCCUGGACCUGUACUGACGCUCAUGCACGAAAGCGUGGGGAGCAAACA